Molecule: long non-coding RNA, 365 nt
Organism: Melanotaenia boesemani (Boeseman's rainbowfish)
Lineage: Eukaryota; Metazoa; Chordata; Actinopteri; Atheriniformes; Melanotaeniidae
Exons: 2
Source: RefSeq, a predicted model, not a curated record
UUUUUUUGUUCUGUGUCAUGCCCCAGUUUAGCAGAAUUUAAGGGGGGUGUAUGUAACAUAGUUAAAUAGGUUCAGGUUAAAUCCUGCUAAAUGGGGAAAACAAUGCCACCUGCUGGUGUAAAAUGUAUCUGCAUCCCUUAGCAUAAUAGUGACAGCAAGGAACGAUGGGUAAUCCUCAAAGUAACGGAGGAUUCCCACGAGAGUGAGCAUGUCCUGUUGUCCGCGCGAGGUGACAUUCCUCCCUGUUUGUUACUGAUGCAGGUAUGUUACUGUAUGAAGUUUGUUUUAAGAUAAAAUGUUCCUGUGGUUAUUUAUUCGACUUGUAUUUUGAAGUUGAUAAAUGUUUUAACAUGAAAAAUGCUGGG